Molecule: transfer RNA, 77 nt
Rfam family: tRNA
About the family: Transfer RNA (tRNA) molecules are approximately 80 nucleotides in length.
UGGCGUGGUAGAUUCUGUUGGCAGAAUCGUCUGGUUUUCAACCAGGAGUCCGCGGGUUCGAUUCCCGUUCACGUCAU